GGGUGCGAUCAUACCAGCGCUAAUGCACCGGAUCCCAUCAGAACUCCGCAGUUAAGCGUGCUUGGGCGAGAGUAGUACUAGGAUGGGUGACCUCCUGGGAAGUCCUCGUGUUGCACUCG
Molecule: ribosomal RNA, 119 nt
Filed under: Pseudodesulfovibrio sp. JC047
Lineage: Bacteria; Pseudomonadati; Thermodesulfobacteriota; Desulfovibrionia; Desulfovibrionales; Desulfovibrionaceae
Source: RNAcentral